GACGUAGGGCGCGAGCGUUGUCCGGAUUGAUUGGGCGUAAAGAGCUCGUAGGCGGCUCGUUGCGUCGGCUGUGAAAACCCGCAGCUCAACUGUGGGCCUGCAGCUGAUACGGGCGGGCUGGAGUUCGGUAGGGGAGACUGGAAUUCCUGGUGUAGCGGUGAAAUGCGCAGAUAUCAGGAGGAACACCGGUGGCGAAGGCGGGUCUCUGGGCCGAUACUGACGCUGAGGAGCGAAAGCCAGGGGAGCAAACGGG
RNAcentral lists this ribosomal RNA (253 nucleotides) under uncultured bacterium. RNAcentral's name for it is "partial 16S ribosomal RNA". It matches the Rfam family "Bacterial small subunit ribosomal RNA", at positions 524 to 776 of the family's 1533-position model. The record is from RNAcentral.